CUCGGCUUCCGCGGGCGCCGCCGCCGGCCCCAGACAAGCGCCUCCGUCUUUGCGGCUGCGGAGCUUGGGAGGGGAGGCCGGCUGGGGUUUUCAUUCGACGCCCACCAGGGGCUGAGUGAGCCUCCUUUCAGUGCGCAAACUCGGGGCACCAGAUAAAAGCCGGGCUGGCGGCUCCGGCGCUGCUUUGAUGGAGCCGGGAGAACCGAGGGGAGGAAGGAGAAGGAACUGAUGGGCAGGCUAGAGUAGCUCGCUUUUCCCCUCAGCGGGGCUUCCCCGUCGGAGCAGCAGCAGCAGGAGGAGGAGGAAGCGGCGGGAGAGGCUUUGCUGGCUGCCCGGCCGGGACUCAGAGGCGGCGGCUGUAAUAGGGCGCUGGAUACAGUAUUUGUGGAUUCAUAAAACAUUCCCCAGCUGUCCUGAAAUAAUUCCAGCUUUUUCUCAGUUUUAAGGGCGUCUUUGAGCGGUUGUAAAAAUGAAUAAAAGAUCAGCUUCAGCAUCCAAGGAUCGCUACAGUUCCAAUAAGUGUCUUCAGCCACCAUAAUCAAGGAACUGAGCUUGCUUGGAGAGUCCUGUUGGUUGCCAUCCAAAUAAUCUAAAGGCCGUGAAAUUUGGAGAAACUUGGAGCUUUAUCUCCGCUGAACAAAACUCCACAUCGGCAACAGGAAGAGCAUCCGGCCAUUAAAAUGCUCUGCUAGCUCUGUUCAGUUGCCCGGACUCUACCCUGCAAGGGAUUAUAAGGUUAAAUGAUGAUGAUGAUUAAACUUGGAGAAAAAUAGUGUGAGCUUUACAUUCACUAGAUCAGUGAUGACGAAUCUUUUCGGCACUGAGCGCACCGAAGCGCCAUCAACCCGAAGAUCAGCGGGCCAGUGCGCAUGCACGCUCCAGCCACCUGGUCUUCAGGUUUCCGACACACGCAUGCGCACCAGCCAGCUGGUCUUCACACGUGCCAGAGCGCUGGAAACCCGAAGACUAGGUAGCUGGCGCACGCAUGCGCACUGGCCAGCUGGUUUUUGGGUUUCCGGCGCUCCGGUGUGCACAAAGACCAACAGGCCAGCGCUGUUGUGGCUCCGUUACCUGAGCCUGUGUCAUUGGCAGGAGAGGACUCCGAGAGUCAAGUUGGCAAGGCCUCCCUCUCCAGGACCCUCCUCUCUGGCAAUGCCUUCGGUGUCCGCCGAAGGGCAAGAGAUAGGGCCGGGGCCAAGCACGUCCAUGCAGCCACAGAUGGACAGUGAUGAGGGCAAUGAGUCUUGGCUGGAUCCACGCCAGCAUCGCAGAGAUAAGUGUGCGCAACAGAAGAAAAGGUGUGCCCGAGAUUAGGCUGAGUCACUGGACCACACCCCACAGGAUAUAAAAGGGAGCGUGGUGGCCAGUCAAACCUUGUGACGAACAAAGCUGAAAGCUUCCACGCCAUUCUGCAUUGCCGGACUUUUGCUAUAGACUUUGCUGGAUUAUCUCUGGACUUGAUUGACUCUGUAAUUAUUGGGCUGUUUCUUUUGAUGUACCAGAAGUGGGGAGAAGUUAUCUCUCCUCUUCGUAAGUAAUAAACUCUUGGCAGGCAGCCACUAGGUUGUUGCCAAGUUCCGUUAUCAUAAGGAAAAGGAUUUUGCCGGCUGGUUUAGUCUUUAACUCUUGAACGUCUGUUGGUGUAUGUGCGUGUGGGACGGGGACAGAACAGGCACACAUGCGAGUGCCAGAAACCAAAAGAGCAACUGGCAAUGGCACGCAUGCCUACAGAGAGCACUCUGCGUGUCACCUCUGGCACACGUGCUAUAUGUUCGCCAUCACGGCAUUAGACUGUGACAAUUAAUGCGCCUGUCAUUAUUCCCGGUCAUUAUUCAUUUCUGUCCUGUUGUGCAAGUCAAAUUUUGCAGUUACCAAAUUCUGCAAACAGCGGCCAACGUUGUAUGUUAGCUUCUGGCAAGACACAGCACAAAUUAAGUGUCAUUUCAAAAUCUCAAAAGAGUUGUAUGCGGCUUUGCCUGCCCAAAUCUGUUCCUUUGCGAUGGGAUGUUUUGUGUUAAUGAAUUGCAACUCAUUGAACUGGAGAUGGAAUUAAUUUUAUUCGGAAUAGACCCCUCGAUAUUUAUGGAGUUUUGUUUAUCUUAAAAUUCCCUCCCUCUAUUUUAUGUAGACUUAAGCCUGCAUCUAGUGUUGGCGAUUAAUGAUUUCUUUUAAAAAAAUAAACAAUUUUGCUGCUUUACCUAAGAUCGUUGUAAUUGUUGGGACACGGUAAAUGUAAGUUUUUAGCUCUCGUUGCCAUUAUUCGAACUUGCUUUCAUAAUGAUCAGUAGUAGCACUCAAUUAUGCGUUUAUGACUAAGCCUAGCGUAGACAUUGAGUAAAACAAUUGAAAUAUUACAAUCCUGUAGACAGCAAAAAUAAUAAAUAAAUCAAAAUCUUGGAUGUAGCUUAUACUGUACUGAACAAUUUUGAGUCGUCUCCAUUAAGCGGGACUGAAUUAAAACAAUGUUGCCUGACAUUCUUCACUAAUUAUACGUUUGGAUGGAAUUCUUACUAUUCAUUCUUGGAAAUCUUUAAAAGGACAAGCAAUUAAAGGACUAAUUUUGAAAGCUG
Molecule: long non-coding RNA, 2570 nt
Organism: Pantherophis guttatus
Lineage: Eukaryota; Metazoa; Chordata; Lepidosauria; Squamata; Colubridae
Source: RefSeq, a predicted model, not a curated record